AUUGAACGCUGGCGGCGUGCCUAACACAUGCAAGUCGAGCGGUAACAGGUGUAGCAAUACAUGCUGACGAGCGGCGGACGGGUGAGUAACGCUUGGGAAUCUGCCUAUUAGUGGGGGACAGCCCGGGGAAACUCGGGCUAAUACCGCAUACGCACUACGGUGGAAAGCCGGGGACCGCAAGGCCUGGCGCUAACAGAUGAGCCCAAGUCGGAUUAGCUAGUUGGUAGGGUAACGGCCUACCAAGGCGACGAUCCGUAACUGGUCUGAGAGGACGACCAGUCACACCGGAACUGAGACACGGUCCGGACUCCUACGGGAGGCAGCAGUGGGGAAUAUUGGACAAUGGGCGAAAGCCUGAUCCAGCGACGCCGCGUGGGUGAAGAAGGCCUGCGGGUUGUAAAAGCCCUUUCAGUGGGGAAGAAAAGCCUCGAGCUAACACCUCGGGGUCUUGACGUAACCCAUAGAAGAAGCACCGGCUAACUCUGUGCC
This 489-nucleotide ribosomal RNA is filed under the name uncultured bacterium. RNAcentral's name for it is "bacterial SSU rRNA". It matches the Rfam family "Bacterial small subunit ribosomal RNA", at positions 29 to 509 of the family's 1533-position model. The record is from RNAcentral.